AUGAAUGUACUCAGGGUUUCCUUAUGCAUUUGCUCAAGUGGCUGUUGAAUCCUAGGAACAAGGCAUUGUUAGAGAUUUGGAAAAAGUCUGGUUCCUAGUCUAUCAGGUUCAAAUGAUGAUUGAGAAGGCAAAUGUGUCGCUGGAAGUUUUAGCACCCCAGGCAUGGAUCCCUUGGAUUUCUUUCAAGGACAUGAGCUGCUUGUCAUAGAGGAAAGUGAGCACACCAUGCAGUGAAGGCGUUCCCCAAAGA
This is a long non-coding RNA of Rosa chinensis, 250 nucleotides long. RefSeq lists it as uncharacterized. The transcript has 3 exons. Lineage: Eukaryota; Viridiplantae; Streptophyta; Magnoliopsida; Rosales; Rosaceae. The record is from RefSeq and is a predicted model, not a curated record.